AAAAGUAAAACCUAAAAAGGGUUUUUCUCUCUAUGGUCUCUCUCGCCGUCUUCAAAUUCUUUUGCAGAGUUCAUCACAAAACAGCUCUUGAUCAGCGAAAUUAAACAUGAAUUCUCUCUCUGGUGGAUUCAGCGGGUUAUUCCUUGCCUCUUUUUCUUAUUUUUUCUUCUCAAUCUCUUUGUUCCUUCUAAACCCUAAUCUCUCUUUUGAUUCUACAUCAAAUCCAAUUCUUCUGUUCAUGACCAUUUCAUAGUCUUUGUUUCUGUCAACGAUGGCGGGUAUACAAGGCAAUGUGGUCUUUUGGGUGAAGUUGAUAUUAGAUUGAUGAGAAUGUGGCGAGAGAGAUUAUUAAUCAUAGAUCACUUCGUCAUCCUAAUAUCACCCGCUUUAAGGAGGUGGUUUUGACAACAACGCAUAUCGCCAUUGCUAUGGAAUAUGCUGCUGGUCGUGAGCUAUUUGAGCGUAUAUGUACCGCUGGAAGGUUCAGUGAGGAUGAGGCAAGAGACUUUUUCCAGCAGCUUAUAUCGAGAGUUAGCUAUUGCCAUGCUAUGCAUAUAUGCCACGGAGAUUUGAAGCUUGAAAAUACCCUCUUGGAUGGAAGUCCUGCUCCACGUCUCAAGAUCUGUGAUUUUGGUUAUUCCAAGGUCUGGCAUCUAACCCCAGCAUGCACCUGAUUUGUUAAUUUCUUUUGUCAGAACAAGCUCUGUCUUUUGUUCUCUUUCCGUCCAUCUAACCCCAGCACGCACCUGACUUUAAAUCAUUUAGCGUUGCUGCUCAUUAUUUUGGAAGCUCGAGUGAAGUAUAUCCUCAUGAAAAUUUGUUUUUGUUUAGCUCUAAACACAAACCAGAGAUAGAGAGUGUUUCGUGAGGAAGUGAGGUUUCCGUAUGAACUUGAUGUGAAGAUACUAUUUUCAAUUGGCAUACCUUAGUGAAGGGGUUGGAGCCAUUUGUGAGUUUGCUAGAAGAUGAGUGAGUGAGACACUCUGUUUUUUCCUUUUUCUUUUCACUCUAUAGUCUAUUAAAUCUUUUUAAUUGUAUCUUUUUGUUUGUUUGUAACAUUUAUAUCAAAUCUAAAUUAUAUCUGUUUCACAACAUUGAUAAAUUGGAUAUUGAAUGGUGGAUAUCAUGGUUUUCUUU
Molecule: non-coding RNA, 1137 nt
Organism: Camelina sativa (false flax)
Lineage: Eukaryota; Viridiplantae; Streptophyta; Magnoliopsida; Brassicales; Brassicaceae
Source: RefSeq, a predicted model, not a curated record